UACGUAGGGUGCGAGCGUUAAUCGGAAUUACUGGGCGUAAAGCGUGCGCAGGCGGUUUUGUAAGCCAGAUGUGAAAGCCCCGGGCUUAACCUGGGAAUGGCAUUUGGGACUGCAAGGCUGGAGUGUGGCAGAGGGUCGUGGAAUUCCCAGUGUAGAGGUGAAAUUCGUAGAUAUUGGGAAGAACACCGGUGGCGAAGGCGGCCAUCUGGACCGCAACUGACGCUGAGGCGCGAAAGCGUGGGGAGCAAACAGG
Molecule: ribosomal RNA, 253 nt
Filed under: uncultured bacterium
Lineage: Bacteria
Description: partial 16S ribosomal RNA
Rfam family: Bacterial small subunit ribosomal RNA
Source: RNAcentral